GUCCUCAGGAUUCCUCCAUGUGGCAGCAGGUGUCAUGGCUCCUUUGCUUGAAGGCAGCGUAACUUCAUUGUGUGGAUUCCCAGGAGCCCCCAACCGCACUGUCUCUCCUUCCUCAGUGCCUUUUAAAGGUGGGCAUCACAGUCUGAACACGUUCCAUGCAGAUUCCAGAAACUGCUAAUUCAUAAAUUGUCAGUCAUGAGCUUUCCCGAGGAGCCUGGUUAAUCCCUUGCCUCCCUCCUCUCCGCUACUCACUAAGCAUGGAGCGGACAUCUUCAUUCAGCAGAUCCAUGCUGCACUGGAUUGGGAUCUGUCAGUCACUUCACAAUGGGUUUGGUGAUCACAUGGACUGUUGCUCUCUCCAGUGUGAUGUUGACAUUUAAGGCCCAGAGCAGCUGAUGCCAUGGCACUGUGCCCCCACCCUUUCCUCAUUUCCUGUCAUCACGGAGAUUUUGAUCAGCUUGCAGCAUCCCACAGGUGCCCCCGUAGUGAUCCGCACAGAGGCUCUGCCAUUUGACGUCCCUAACAAGAGGCCCUGGCACUGGCCUCUGUCUCCACAUCCUGGGACCUUUUCCUGUGUUCACUUUCUUGCUGGAAGCAUCCUGAUGCCUGGGAAGUGGCCUUUCAUUGUCCUAUGAGGAGUGCUGUACAGUGGCUGUUCAUAGGUGCACUGACCAUUCGUAUAUUCUGUUUAGAAUAAUUCUGUGUAUUGAAGUCUGUUGUUCAUUUUCAAAUGGAGUUUUCUAGGUUUUAUGUAUACGUUUUGCAGGUGUUACACUCUUGUCGUAUGUAACCUAAAAUUAUUUUCUCAGUAUUCUGCCAUUAGUUUGGCUCUUUCCUGGGCUAAUAAUGACUUCAGUUAUAGGAUAGUAUUUAAUUCUCAUGAAGUCCAAAAUGUGUAUUUUCACCUU
Cavia porcellus (domestic guinea pig) is the source of this 908-nucleotide long non-coding RNA. RefSeq lists it as uncharacterized. The record is from RefSeq and is a predicted model, not a curated record. Lineage: Eukaryota; Metazoa; Chordata; Mammalia; Rodentia; Caviidae. The transcript is spliced from 2 exons.